RNAcentral lists this ribosomal RNA (484 nucleotides) under uncultured bacterium. RNAcentral's name for it is "partial 16S ribosomal RNA". It matches the Rfam family "Bacterial small subunit ribosomal RNA", at positions 30 to 507 of the family's 1533-position model. The record is from RNAcentral.
AUUGAACGCUGGCGGCAGGCCUAACACAUGCAAGUCGAGCGGAUGAAGGGUGCUUGCUUCUGGAUUCAGCGGCGGACGGGUGAGUAAUGCCUAGGAAUCUGCCUGGUAGUGGGGGAUAAUGUCUGGAAACGGGCGCUAAUACCGCAUACGUCCUGAGGGAGAAAGUGGGGGGUCUUCGGACCUUACGCUAUCAGAUGAGCCUAGGGCGGAUUAGCUAGUUGGUGGGGUAAAGGCCUACCAAGGCGACGAUCCGUAACUGGUCUGAGAGGAUGAUCAGUCACACUGGAACUGAAACACGGUCCAGGCUCCUGCGAGAGGCAGCAGUGGGGAAUAUUGGGCAGUGGGCGAAAGCCUGAUCCAGCCAGGCCGCGUGUGUGAAGAAGGUCUUCGGAUUGUGAAGCACUUUAAGUUGGGAGGAAGGGCAGUAAGUUAAUACCUUGCUGUUUUGACGUUACCGACAGAAUAAGCACCGGCUAACUUCGUG